CAUAUUAGAGUUUGGGUGUGAAUAAUUCAUUUACAUUGAAUUGGGCUGGUAGAGUAAUAUGA
Molecule: transfer RNA, 62 nt
Filed under: Epanerchodus koreanus
Lineage: Eukaryota; Metazoa; Arthropoda; Diplopoda; Polydesmida; Polydesmidae
Description: tRNA-Val
Source: RNAcentral